Molecule: transfer RNA, 77 nt
Filed under: Actinomycetes bacterium
Lineage: Bacteria; Bacillati; Actinomycetota; Actinomycetes
Also listed under: 5 other names
Description: Actinobacteria bacterium tRNA-Asp
Rfam family: tRNA
About the family: Transfer RNA (tRNA) molecules are approximately 80 nucleotides in length. Their secondary structure includes four short double-helical elements and three loops (D, anti-codon, and T loops).
Source: RNAcentral
GGGGGUGUAGCUCAGCUGGUUAGAGCGCUGGCCUGUCAAGCCAGAGGUCGCGGGUUCGAGCCCCGUCACUCCCGCCA